Long non-coding RNA from Zingiber officinale, 351 nucleotides. RefSeq lists it as uncharacterized. The transcript has 2 exons. The record is from RefSeq and is a predicted model, not a curated record. Lineage: Eukaryota; Viridiplantae; Streptophyta; Magnoliopsida; Zingiberales; Zingiberaceae.
AUUGUCACCCGUACAGGGAAGAUGCUAUCGAAAUUUCUUCUGGCAGGAACUACCUGGGGAGGAGAAGUUGAAGAAACCGGGCGCCUGGUGCUGGUCCGAGCGCCCGAACCAGGCUCGCCCAGUCGGGCCGCCGGUGCCUAGGUGAUCCAAGAGCUCGGACUCGGUCCAGGAGAAACCCAAAGAAUUAUCCACAAGCUGAUGUGGAGCCCGUCAAUUGGUCAAGUCACAUGGUCCAAGCGCCCGAAGGGGUUCCAAGUGCCCGGAUUGGACCAUUUAAAGGCCUUCGACCAGCAGCUUAAAAAGCAACAACUUUUACAACUUUCUCUUCUGCUCAGUGCUCCAAAAAGGCUC